CUGCGCUUUCCUACCCGUGGACAUGUGGGUAUGGUGGUGCCCAGCCAGCUUCAACCAUGUGGAUGAAGGGGGCACCGUUUGGGGGAACUCGAGCCAAGACGCUGUGUUUGCCGCUCUUCACGGCUGAUCACCUUGAAAGUGACGUCCACUCCCACCAUGCUGCAUCAAUUCCUCCUGCGACUCCUACUGACGACUCCUGUGCCACAGGUGGCUUCUCUCUGCCACUCCACAACCGUGGAUCUCAUUAGGAACACCAGUGACCUUUGAAUUUCCAAAUCCAGAAGCUACCUUUUUCCUUUUUCUCACUUUUUGUAGCGAGCACCAUUUUUGUUUCUUUUAGCUGUAGGUUCUGUACGGUACUACUUAUUCCCCACCCCACUUUUUUUUGAGACAGGGUCUCACCAUAUUGCCCAGGCUGGUCUCGAACUCCUCAACUCAAGCCAUCCUCCCACCUCAGCCUCCCAAACUGUUGGGAUUACAGGCGUGAGCCACCACACCCAGCUUAUUCCCUUUUCUUUGUAAGAGUGGAUGCAAUGGUUCAAAUGUAAAGGAAAUAGGAAAGUAACUCAGUGGACUGCAUUCAAAGGAUAAUGCCCAGACCUCCUGGAGUCACAGGGUGCUAGUGACUGUCAGGUGACACCCAUGCCUCCCAUCCAGAGGCCUCUGGCAAAGCCCCACACUCUCCUUUUGCCGGGGUCGUGCUUGCUGCAAAGUGAUGCCUGCUCAGGGUCUACACACAAUGUAACAGGCCUGUGAAAACCCAACUUAAUUAGAAGUUGGUGGCAUCUUUUCAAACAAACACUUCCAGGAAGUAGCCACUCAGCAUUCCAGGUAAGACUUAGGCUUCCAGGUUUCAAGGGGAGAAAGCCUAAACCAUAAGACGGCAUAUACACAGAGUUGUAGUUGUUGUUGCUGUUUUUGAGACGGAGUCUCGCUCUGUCACCCAGGCUGGAGUGCAGUGGUGCGAUCUCAGCUCACUGCAAGCUCCGCCUCCAGGGUUCACGCUAUUCUCCUGCCUCAGCCUCCCGAGUAGCUGGGACUACAGGCGCCCACCACCACGCCCGGCUAAUUUUUUGUAUUUUUAGUAGAGACGGGAUUUCACCGUGGUCUCGAUCUCCUGACCUCGUGAUCUGCCUUCCUCGGCCUCCCAGAGUGCUGGGAUUCAGGCGUGAGCCACCGCGCCCGGC
RNAcentral lists this long non-coding RNA (1187 nucleotides) under Homo sapiens (human). RNAcentral describes it as "HSALNT0037905". Lineage: Eukaryota; Metazoa; Chordata; Mammalia; Primates; Hominidae. The record is from RNAcentral.